This 309-nucleotide ribosomal RNA is filed under the name Triticum aestivum (bread wheat). Its description in RNAcentral is "partial small subunit ribosomal RNA". The record is from RNAcentral. Lineage: Eukaryota; Viridiplantae; Streptophyta; Magnoliopsida; Poales; Poaceae.
AUGGCAGUUGACCGCGCCGACAAGGAGAAUCUGCCGCCGGCGACCGCCGCCGUCGCCCGUCCUCAUGGCGUGGCUGUCAAGAGCUGCAAGCUGAAGCGGCUCGGGAGGGUGCGGAGGCGGGUGCCGUUGAGGGACAUCACCAACCUCUUCGGUGCAGAGUCCGCGGUCGCCGAGUGGCAGCAGGCCCUGCUCCAGCGGCCGCACGAGGCGUCGUCGGCGGCGCCGGCCGAGCUGGCCGUGAAGAACGGGCCUGCCGGCGGUGCGCUACUGAAGCCUGGCAGAUACUUGCUCCGGAAGGACUUUAGAUAG